RNAcentral lists this long non-coding RNA (4591 nucleotides) under Homo sapiens (human). RNAcentral's name for it is "PREDICTED lncRNA (TCONS_00201982)". The record is from RNAcentral. Lineage: Eukaryota; Metazoa; Chordata; Mammalia; Primates; Hominidae.
GCCUGAUAUUCAGUCUGUGAGCUGGGAGCCUGUUGGCAGGUCCCUCUUUUUAUUUUCGCUGAGAGCUUUCUUUUACUAAAUGCCACCAUCCUUACCUUUCAAGGUGUCUGCGUGCCUAAUUUUUCCUGGUUGUUAGACAAGAACCCGGAUUUUAGUUGAACUCUGGAGCAAAAAUCCUGCAUCAUUUGUAGGUCAACAACAAGAGGCCAGGACCUCCCAAGAAAAGCUUUACUAAUGUAAUAGCUUUGGCCAAGUCCACCCAAUAUAUUUUCCUCUCUGCAAAGAGAAACAAGCUAUUGUCUCAUCUUAGGUUUCAUCUUCUUCCAUGCCACUGUUAUUCAUGUUCAAAUCCUGGCUGUCCUUCAGGGUCCAAUUCAAAUGAUUAUCGCCAUUUUCUAUUAAUGUCAUUUCUUCCUAUUUUCUACCUUUUGUUAGCUAUGUUAAAGUGUUUCUUUACCAACAUCCCCCAUAUAUUGUGUAACACAGUGUCUAUGGCUUACUCAUUUUUGAAUCCUUAUCAUGACCUGACAUAAUGAAGAUUCUUAGUACAUAGUGAUACAUGUAAAUAUGAGUUAAUUAGUACAUGAUAGACUUGAUUUCCAGAAUGAUUUUGUAUAGUUGAAUUGUGUAGUAAGGGGACACAUGUGAAAUGAAGACUUUAGUCAGUAUCAAGAAGAUAUUUUGGGUGACUUCACAUAUCUGCCAAUGAUAAAUCUAGAAACAAUAGGUGCUUGGGUAGGUGAUUUCCUUUUGCCUUCUUUAUCAUUGUUUUCCCAGUAUUUCUUACAUUCAUCUAAUUUCAUUAGAUGCCCAUAUACUUUAUACUGGCUCUUCCUGUGAGGUUCGAACUGGUCCAGUCCAUUUGUUUUCAGAAUUGAUUCAUCUGGAGAGUCAUCUCCUAUCCUCCCAAACAAUGAUAUACCAGUCUGAGGACUGUGUAGAAGGGACUUCUCUUUCUACUCAGUAUGACCAAAAUAAUUCAAUUCUAGUUGUGGUGUGUGAUUUAUGAAUAUUUUGUCCUUUAGUUUGUGUGAGCCAAUUUUGUGCCAUAAGAAUUUUAGCCUCCUUUUCCACAAAAGAGUGAUUUAAUCAAACAAAAGUUGACAAUCAAUGUAGUACAUUUGUGUGACAGUGAUUAAACAUGGUGUUUUUCUCUUAGGUGUCUGAGUAGAUUUGGAAAUGCCCAUUCAGCCCUCAGAGCUCCUCUGCUUUAAGGGUGAUGGACUUCCUGUACCACUACGUAGUGCAUGAGUGCCAGCCACUGGUAUCUAGAACUGUGAUUAGUGAGGAAACACUAGGAGGAACAAACAACCCAACUCUUUUUAUCUAAUCUGUUGACUCCAAAGGGACCUUCUGCUUAUUCCAGUUAAAACUCAAGCUGCAAUUCAAAAUGAAAUCAGUAUCUUUUUUCUCUACUUUUCAGCAAAGCAAGAUGCUACCUUAUAAUUACCACGUAACAAUCAAUCGCAAACAUAGUGGCUUAAAGCAGCUCCUCUUUUAGCCUACAUAUCUGCAAACUGGCAGUCUGGACUGAGCUCAGCUGGAUGUUUUUUCUGAGCUGAUCAUGUAUGUAGGGUCUGCUGCUGGCUGGUUUAGACUGAUGGUGGAUGAGAAACCACAUGAAGAAGAGAGGCAUGAUGGUGGCAGAGUUCUGAAAGAGUCACACAGAAGGGCGUUGAGUUCGUGGCUUGAAAAUAGCAUCCUGUCACUUCUACCACAUUCUAUUUACCAGGCCAGCCCAGAUAAAGAUGUGAAGAAACAGACUCCAUCUCUUGAUGGGAGAAGUUGAAAAUCAAUGGAAAAUGGCAUGGAUAAGGAAAGGAGUGAUGAUUGUGGCCAUAUUUGUAAUGGCCAUAUUUGAUACCCUUUUCAGUUUUCCUAGCCACACUUCUCAUUGGCCAGGAAAAUUAAAUGCAUGUCAACACUGAAGAAAACAGAUCUUGGUUAAAAGCAAUGAUGUAGCUAAUAUCCCGUUCAGGUAAAAGAUUACUUAUAUAGUGUGAGACAGGCAUGAGGCAGAGAAGUGCUUACAGGUUGGUUUCUGCUUUGUUAGCAGAUUUACUUUUAGAUCAUAUACUACUUUGUUUUUACUGUUUUAUUGAGAAAAAAUAACAAAUAUUUCCAAAAUUUUGCAGCAUGCAACUCAGUGCUUCAGUUGGCAUUCAAUCAAAAUUUCCUUGAAAUAAAAAAAGACAAGAGAGAGACUUGGAAUUAUGACUCUUCUACUAGAUUAGCUCCUUCAUGUCAAAAUCUGUCAAGUUUAUGAUUUAUUCAGAUAGCACUUGUUUUUGGUGUAAUAACUAAACUGUUGCUUUAGAGUCUACUACAUUCUCCUCUAUUAUUUGGCAUUUUUCUCUUUAUUAUUUUGUUCAAGUAGGAUAUUGUGCUGAGUUGAACCAUGAAAUGAAUUGUAUUGAGCAACAUCAACAACAUAAAUAUUCUGGGGUGUCAUCUGCAUUUUCAUAUCUGGCUGCUCAAAUUCUUUUUACAGCUAUAGCUUUGAUAAUAAUGUAAUAGCAUAAUGUUUUUCAUUAGAUAUCAAAUCAUAGAAGACAACAAAGAUGUGUUAAGUUAGCAUAGUUUAAUAUAAGGAAACAACAGCAUCAGUAAAAGCAUUGAGCACUAAAUAUCUCUUCCAUUUCAGUUCUUUUACAGGAAGCUUUUGUUACGUGUUGUCAGCACAUUGCUGUGAUGCUCAAGUAUAGCUCUUUAAUGUGAAAACCUGGUAUUUGGGCAUGGCUUGAAGCAGGUGGGUGUCAUUGUGACUGGCUGCUACCUCCCCAUGAGUCUUCUAAAAUAAAACCUGCAAAUUCACAUCUUCCCCAUGCUUCCAGAGAAUGCAUAUUCUUCCUUUGAAAAAAGAAAACCAGCACUGUUCAUAAUAGCCAAGAUUUGGAAGCCACCUAAGUGUCCAUCAACAGAUGAAUGGAGAAACUGUGGUACAUAUACACAACGGAGUGCUAUUCAGCCAUAAAAAAGAAUGAUACUCUGUCAUCUGCAACAACAUGAAUGGAACUGGAGAUCAUUAUGUUGUUAAAUAAGCCAGACACAGAAAGACAAACAUCACAUAUUUUCACUUAUUUUGGGGAUAUAAAAGUCAAAACAAACUCAUGGAGAUAGAGAACAGAUAGACGGUUACCAGAGGCUAGGAGGAGGAGUGGUGGGGGGCAGUUAGUGAUGGUUAAUUGGUACAAAAAAAUGGUUAGAAAUAAUAAAUAAGACCUAGUAUUAGAUAGGACAACAGGAGGACUAUAGUCAAAAAUAAUUUAUUUGUACAUUUCAAAGUAACUAAAAGAGUGUAAUUGUAUUAUUUGUAGCACAUAGGAUAAAUGCUUGAGGUGACGGAUACCCCAUUUACCCUGAUGUGAUUAUUACACAUCGUAUGCCUGUACCAAAAGAUCUCAUGUACCUCAUAAAUACAUACACCUACUAUAUACCCACACAAAUUAAAAAUUAAAAAAAUUUAAAGAAAUUACAGUUUGUUGGUUUUGAAUAUUUGACCAAAUUUUUUACUAAGCACAGAUAGAUUGAAUAUAAUUUUAUUGUCCUUUUGACAUUAUGAUAAUGAAGGUAUCUACACAGAAGUCUGAGAUGAGAAAAAAAUGAUAUAAUAUCCACCUACUACAUAGUGGGUAGUUUAUAUACUAAAGUUAUUGUUAUGAGAAAGAAUGGCUUAGGAAUAUUAUUUAAAAUUAAUUAAGGGGUGUUAAAAAUAAAAUACCAAGUGUAAAAAUGACAAAGGCAAGAAGAAACAGUAUAUAAUGUGAGUAAAUCUUAAUCUUUCCAAGAGAGGAGACAGUACAUAAUGUCUAAAAUUGUUAAACCAUGAAAUAGAAAUAUAGUUAUUUUAUUCAUAAUUAAGGAGAUAACUACUAUAGCACGAAAUCGUGCCAAAAAUGGUUGCCUCUGGGAAAUGUGAUUAUAGAUAUUAUAAUAUUUUGGACUGUAAAAAUCUGCUUUUAAGACUGAGGAAAUACAAAUAGGACAAUAUUUAUUUGAAAUUUGUAUCCUCAGGGAGUGUAAAGAAAUUAAUGUAUCCACAAAAUAAUAAUAGCUGCUAUUUGAAAACAUAGUUUUCUUGAAAGUUAAAAUAGUAAUAGUCUUCUAAAAAUUUUGUUAGUUUUGGUUUUCUCUUUAAUCUGAGUUAUGUAGAAAAGUGCUUAUUUCAAAUUAGGUAGGCUUGUUUUAUUCCUUUUUCUGUCUUUUUUCUAUCAACUAGUGUUUUAUUGUGUUCAGAAAAUGCCAUGCAUUAAAAGACUACUUUUGAGAAUUUCUAGAGAUUUUCUUUGUUACUAAAGAGAUUUUUGUAAUUGUUACAUGGGAUUUUAAAAAGAAUGUAAAUUAUCCUUUUUGUCAAGUAUAAUGAUUUCUGAAACCUAGCUGUGUCAGAAUACUGUAUAAUACUGUAAUAGUAUGUUGUUUUUGGCUAUGUGUACUUAUUUCUUAGAGUGGUAUGUUAAAGCCUCGACCUUGUGACUUUGUUUAUUUCUCUCUCUACAUCUAAACAUUUCCAAGACAUGUUAUUUGCAAUACCAAGACCAUAACUAUUAUGUAUUUAAUCAAAAUAAAAUAUUUCGGCUCUCUAUAAUUC